GGGGAAUCUUGGGCAAUGGGCGAAAGCCUGACCCAGCAAUACCGCGUGAGGGAUGAAGGCCUUCGGGUCGUAAACCUCUGUCAGCAGGAACGAUGGGUCUCCGUGCUAAUACCACGGAGACUUGACGGUACCUGCCAAGGCAGCCCCGGCUAACUCCGUGCCAGCAGCCGCGGUAAUACGGAGGGCGCAAGCGUUGUUCGGAAUCACUGGGCGUAAAGCGCGUGUAGGCGGCUUGGUAAGUCGGAUGUGAAAUCCCGGGGCUCAACCCCGGAACUGCAUCCGAAACUGCCUCGCUCGAGUCCCGGAGAGGAUGGCGGAAUUUCCGGUGUAGAGGUGAAAUUCGUAGAUAUCGGAAGGAACACCAGUGGCGAAGGCGGCCAUCUGGACGGUGACUGACGCUGAGACGCGAAAGCGUGGGGAGCAAA
This 425-nucleotide ribosomal RNA is filed under the name uncultured bacterium. RNAcentral describes it as "bacterial SSU rRNA". It matches the Rfam family "Bacterial small subunit ribosomal RNA", at positions 356 to 772 of the family's 1533-position model. The record is from RNAcentral.